GUAGGGAAUAUUGGGCAAUGGAGGCAACUCUGACCCAGCCAUGCCGCGUGCAGGAAGACGGUCCUCUGGAUUGUAAACUGCUUUUGAAUGGGAAGAACACUACCCUUGCGAGGGUAUUUGACGGUACUAUUAGAAUAAGCACCGGCUAACUCCGUGCCAGCAGCCGCGGUAAUACGGAGGGUGCAAGCGUUAUCCGGAUUUAUUGGGUUUAAAGGGUGCGUAGGCGGCUUGAUAAGUCUGGGGUUAAAGGCGGCAGCUUAACUGUACGCAUGCCCUAGAUACUGUUGAGCUUGAGUGACCUGGAGGUAGCUGGAAUUCCCUGUGUAGCGGUGAAAUGCAUAGAUACGGGGAGGAAUACCGAUUGCGAAGGCAUGUUACUACGGGUAAACUGACGCUGAUGCACGAAAGCGUGGGGAUCAAACAGGAUUAGAAACCCCGGUAGUCC
RNAcentral lists this ribosomal RNA (445 nucleotides) under uncultured bacterium. RNAcentral describes it as "bacterial SSU rRNA". It matches the Rfam family "Bacterial small subunit ribosomal RNA", at positions 354 to 796 of the family's 1533-position model. The record is from RNAcentral.